This 111-nucleotide small nucleolar RNA is filed under the name Sorghum bicolor (sorghum). RNAcentral describes it as "Plant small nucleolar RNA R71". It matches the Rfam family "Plant small nucleolar RNA R71". From Rfam's summary of the family: R71 is a member of the C/D box family of snoRNAs containing the C (UGAUGA) and D (CUGA) box motifs. Multiple nearly identical copies of this snoRNA have been identified in Arabidopsis, and it is thought to function as a 2'-O-ribose methylation guide for 18S ribosomal RNA. The record is from Rfam by way of RNAcentral. Lineage: Eukaryota; Viridiplantae; Streptophyta; Magnoliopsida; Poales; Poaceae.
AUUCCAUGGUGCGGGCAGUCUGAUAUGUAUCCUUAAAAGUGCUCCCAUGCUUCUAGAAUAGGUUCACCUUUCUGCUGCUGCUGGAAUUCUAAAAUCUUCCCUCGUAAGAUA